Amborella trichopoda is the source of this 568-nucleotide long non-coding RNA. RefSeq lists it as uncharacterized. The record is from RefSeq and is a predicted model, not a curated record. Lineage: Eukaryota; Viridiplantae; Streptophyta; Magnoliopsida; Amborellales; Amborellaceae.
UUGAUCAUGUCAGAGCUUUACUAAACUUACAGGGAGAAAGAGGCAGUCCCACUAAUGGAUAAGAUUGGUUCUGCCCACCUGCUCGUUACUUUAUAUAUUAAGCUUUGAUGGGGGAGAGAGAAUAGAGACUGCAAUUCAGCAAGUUUAGAGAGAGAUUCAAAUCAGCCGGUUUUCUUAGAGAACGAUGAAGAAAGUGGAGGUGUUUUUUUUGGUGGCUCUGUUAAUGCUGUCUGUGCAAACAACGGGGAGAGCGGAUGCACCUAUUUGGUGCUAUGAUGCCUGUACCACUGGAUGUGUUUUUCGGAGGAAUGCACGCCUACGAGCUCGCUGCAAGCAAAAGUGCAGAAUCGAAUGCGACAUUGGUGCUCGUGGUUGAUGAAGGCGGUUCACUUAUCAAUAAUCAUGAACUUUUUUUCUUUUUUAUCUCUUUGUAUUUAAACUUUCUUUGGAUGCGGAAAUCGAUCUUGGUUUGAGGUGGAGAAAGAAGCACAUGUAAGUAAGAGUGGAUAAUGGUUCGGAAUUAGUGGUUCCAGGAUAUUUUGAAGGAAUCAAUAAGUGGUUAAAAGAA